Molecule: non-coding RNA, 3411 nt
Organism: Microcebus murinus (gray mouse lemur)
Lineage: Eukaryota; Metazoa; Chordata; Mammalia; Primates; Cheirogaleidae
Source: RefSeq, a predicted model, not a curated record
GAGACUUUGUCUCAAGAAAAAAAAAAUCUGACGGUGUAGGGGAAAUUUCUGAAUUUAUCCUCAGAGAACAUCAAAGCUGCUCUGCAAAAUGAAGGGUGGCCUCCAAGAGGCUGGGGAGACACCUUCUACUCGGGCAUCUUCUGGGCUUUUCCCAGAGGAAGCCCCCCAGUGGGAGAUGAUUUGGGGGUUGGAGAGGAGAGGAAGGAACUGGAAACUGGGAGGGAGGAUGUCGGGGAGAGGAGAUGAGAAGGGCCUCUGGGGCAGGGGGCAGAUAAGGCCAGGGCAUGGGGACAGCAAUGACCACAGCUAACUUGUCUAAUGGUGGGAGGGGCCAAGUCAUUCGGAGCAGCGAUGUCGGACGUUGACUGUGGUGUAGUUUCCUAUUCUGUUCUGUCUUUGGUAUUUCUUAAGCUUUGUUACCCACUCAUCAGUGUCGCCCUAGUGGUGGCAGUGUGCUGGGGAAGGAGAGGGUAAAGUGACACAAAGACAGGGUAUCCAGACUACCAAACGGCUCAAGGAAAAAGCUGAGGGCAGGAGCUCUGUGCUGGUGUAACAGGAAAAGAAAAAAGUCAAGAAAAAUCUAAGUGUCCUUCUUCCCUUUUAACCCAGGAAUACUUAGGGGCCUUUAGGAUGGAGGCUUGGGUUCUUUCAUGUGAUUGGAAUUAUUUCUCUGAUUCCAAAAAGCUGGAGGACUUGAAAAGUAAACUAUAAAUAUGGAUUUCCCUUCUGUGUCCUGCCUGACCCUGAGAAUUCUGGCUGUGAAGGUUUGGGACCAGGUUGCACCCAGGUGGCUCAGAUGUGCCGUCACACUUGGGGACUAGUGCCAUAGACCAUGGGGGCCAGGGGAAUUUUACAGAAGGAGUUUUGGUUUGAGAACACUCACUUUGGCGGCAGGGUGAUGGUGGGUUAACAGAACCCAGUGACUCCAGGCUUGGGAAUCCUGCUAGCUUCUAACUUCCGCAUCUUAUUGUAAAGUCACAAAAUGGCCAAAGCAAAUACCCCCUUUUGCAAAGGCAGAGCACAGCUUGAGCUUCAAAGGCGAAGCCUAGUUCCCUUCCCCAGCUGAAGUGCUCCAAUAUUCCCCUACUUUUCAAUAAAAUGCUGAAAAGAAAUUUCUGCGAGGCUCCCAUGCUUAUAAAAGAGAUGUUUACUAUGUGUACUUAAUUAAAGUUGAGAAUAGGCAAACCCCUUUAGGGGUUUUUCUUCACUUAGAAAUGCAUCCUGUGUUCUAAUUUUGAGGGACAAAAUGUAACAAUUAUUGGGCAUAAUAAAAGGAAUUGCCUCUAAAUCUAUGCAGCCUCCACUCCCUGGACCUCCGUUUUUAAUGUAAGUGUGGGCAAUACCAGGAAAUGAGCCGGGCACAAUAUUUGCACUCGGUCUUCAAAUCUCCACGCUGCCUAUUUGGAGUCUUAGGUAAACAUAUCCUCAGCCACAGAGCACGGACUUGGGCAAACGCUGCCGCCUCCUCAAUAAGGCGCCUCCUCUCUGGGUUCUGAUUGGCAUCUCUCAAAUCCAUUGUAAUCUUUGGCAGCCAGAAAACAAAAGGCACACACUGGAACUUCAGGCAGUAAGUGCCUUACACAGAAAAAGACUUUCACGUCUAAUUCUUCACCAAACAUCAGAAGAAAAUGCAUAUUUCAGCAGUCAUCUCACUUGUUCACGGACACUUUAAUACACAAAUCUCAAGUAUACAUGUGUUAUUAUAUGAACCUCUAUACAGUAUAGGUAGUGCAUAUGCAAAUGUAUUAUUAUUAAUGGUAUAUAAUCCUUCUGCAAUCGUAUGAAGUGAUAUAAGCACUACAUAUAGAUACAUGUCUCAAAUACAGAGUGUUACACAUCACGCUAACAUUUGUAAUACUCACGACUCUAUACCAUUCGAAAUGCUAAUUGUCAUUUGUUUUUGUUUUGUUUUUUUUCCUGAGUUCAAGUCCAUUUGUUUUGGAAGAACAAGACUGAAGCUCACAUUGUUCUAACAGUAUGGCCAGCUGCUGGCUUUACCACAAUGAGACCCAUUGUUGGGUAAAUGGAGUCCCUCAGAAGUGAGACCGGGCACAAUGGAGGUAAUGAGGGAGGACACUCACUUGUCCCUUUAAAUACACAAGGCUGUCUACUAUUAUGGGAUGGAAUCAGAUGAAAUAAGAAGCUGUUGUUUAGUCAUUUCCAUUGGCAAUAAAUAGCGCCAGGUGCUUUACUCAUUGGAACAUCUUCACUCCUCAAAGCAAUCACAUGAGGUGGGAGUUAUUAUCUCCGUUUUACAGAAGAGGAAACUGAGCCUGCCUGCAUCAAGAAAGAAACAUAAGCAAGAAAGGAUACACACCCAUCAUGAAACAGGCCCAAAGUGGAAGAGACCCUGGAACCUCCUGCCUUUUCGUGGUCUCUGCUCUGACACUCCCUAACAGAGGGCUGGCCUGAAUGACAGCACACCAGGAGUCUGGAGCCUAGACGUCCCAAGUCAGCCAUCAGGGUUCCAGAUGAAGACGGAAUGAACUCAUCAGCCUUCGCUGAAGAAGCCACCACUACUAGCUGCCAAGACGUCAUGGGCACACCCAGCAAGUCACUCCUGGGAAACUGAACUUCUUUUGCCUAACAUUGCAAUUGUAUUUAUGUGAACCUAAAGAUUUCUUAAAACCACUUUUAAUUCUCUUCAGUGUCAUGAUUCCAUUUGGAAAUUUUUCUCAUGUCUUGGAAGCACCUGGCCUGUUGUGAAACAUCUACAUUAUGGGAUAAAGGGGAAAAUUCAAGUACAGUGGUCCCCCGGAUCCACAGGGCUUACACAUUUUAAGAUCCCCAGUGUAUGCCUGAAACCUCAGAUAGGAUCAAGCGCUAUAUAUACUAUGUUUUUCCUGUACGUACAUACCUAUGAGAAAGGUCAAUUUAUAAAUCAAGCACAGUAAGAGUUUAACAACAAUACCUAAUAAUAAAAUGGAACAAUGAUAACAAUAUACUGUGAUAAAAGUUAUGUGAAUGUGUGUCUCUCUCUCAAAAUAUCUUACUGCACUGAAGCUAAGAAAGUAAAAUCUCAGAUAAGGAGGACUACCUAAUGAAAAAAGCACUCUUAUUAGAAAGAUUAGAUGAGGAUUGCAUCCAAUGUUCUCUAGUGACUUUUCCUCACCUGUCCCUGGGUUUAUGGCUGAGGCUCUAUACCAAAAGACAGAUUUACAAGAGAAAAGCAUUUACAUUUAUUUAAUGCACGUCUUAUGUGACACGGGAGGCUUCGGAAAUGAAAACGCGAAGAAACAGAGAAAUGUGUGCACGUUCACGCUGAGUUCGGCGAAGAGGUAGAUCAUUGUGGAGAAUGUGAUGGAACAAAGGGGGUCUGACCUGAUGGUAAUAAACUAGGGGGAAGCUGGCAAGGCCCAUUGGUUCAGAUUCUUCUCUGUGUCCAUGUGUCUUCAGAAACUAGGACGUUCC